Strongylocentrotus purpuratus (purple sea urchin) is the source of this 46-nucleotide non-coding RNA. Lineage: Eukaryota; Metazoa; Echinodermata; Echinoidea; Camarodonta; Strongylocentrotidae. The record is from Rfam.
CAAACAGUCCUUUUCAGGACUACACAUCCUCAAGAAAGAUCUCAAU